UACGUAGGGGGCUAGCGUUAUCCGGAAUUACUGGGCGUAAAGGGUGCGUAGGUGGUUUCUUAAGUCAGAGGUGAAAGGCUACGGCUCAACCGUAGUAAGCCUUUGAAACUGAGAAACUUGAGUGCAGGAGAGGAACGCAGAAUUCCAGGUGUAGCGGUGAAAUGCGUAGAUAUCUGGAGGAACACCGGUGGCGAAGGCGGCAUCCUGGACCGAGAUUGACGCUGAGGCGCGAAAGCCAGGGGAGCAAACGGG
Molecule: ribosomal RNA, 252 nt
Filed under: uncultured bacterium
Lineage: Bacteria
Description: partial 16S ribosomal RNA
Rfam family: Bacterial small subunit ribosomal RNA
Source: RNAcentral